GUAGGUGACGUUUCCAGUUGGGACCUUUCUUCAGACCGAUAAACUUAUGAGGGGAAACAGAUUGAAUGCCCCAGGGUUGGGGAAUUAAGAACCAGAGGACAUAGGUUUAAGGUGAGAGGACCAACAUUUAAUAGGAACCUGAGGGACAUAUUUUUCACUCCGCGGUGGGUAAAUGGAAUUAGCUGCCAGAGGUGGUACUAAAGUGCUGGUGUAACUCAAUGGGUCAGGCAGUAUCUCUGGAGAACAUGGGUAGAUAAUGUAUUAGGUCAGGGCCUUAAUUCAUUUGAUAAGUAAGGGUUUCAGGGAUUAUAGGGCGAAGGCAGAAGAAUGGCGUUGAGAGGGAAAGACAGAUCAGCCACGAUUGAAAGCUGAGUAGACUUGAUGGGCCAAACAGCCUCUAAUUCUGCUCUGAAAAAUUAUGGACUUCAUUAGUAGACUCUGGUGAUGCUGGUGGAGGGGGUGAGAUGGGAUAGUAGGGGAUCAAAACACUACCGAGCAAAUCUGAGCAUUCUGACAUCAGAAUAAGGAAAACGUUACUGUAAUAUAAUCAGCACACAUUUUAAUAAGAAAAUGUAUCCCAUUGAAAGAGGAAAGUAGAAGUUUAAUCAAUGUGGGAGAUAUAGUUGAAGCAACUGCCAAAUAUGAAAUGCUCUUUGUUAAAGAUAUUAUAUGAUAUAAUGAUAGUAUGUUUAUAAUGUAACAUUGGUGAGGAUGUGGCUGUGGAUUUUGUGUGGUAUCGAUACGAUACGAUACGAUAGAACUUUAUUUAUCUCAGGAGGGAAAUUGAUCUGCCAACAGCCAUAAAACACAAGAUCCAUGAAACAUAAAAUUAAAAUGAUGAGUGGAAAGGAUUGGGGAUUGGUUUCAGUAUUUGUAAUGCAAGGAAGGCAGAUGUCUUGCUACAAAGGGCAUGGGCUACAGGAGUACGGACUUGCUGCAACUAUGCAGGGAUUUGGUGAGACCACAGCUGGAGUACCCUGUAUAGCUUUGGUCUCCUUGUUGCUUCAGUGUAAUGAAGGUUCUCUUAAUUGAUUCCUGGCAGGGUGUUUAACCUACGGGUAAAGACUGAGAAGAAUGGGCCUCUAUCCAUUGGAGUUUAGAAGGGAUCAUUAUAUUGUCAAGAUUCUGCCCCUUGGAAGUAAGAAAUAUAUGGUGUGUUACAAGGCUACUGACUACAAACAUUGACGAUCUUUCUCUCUUUGUGGCAGUUGUCUGAUCUGCUGCGCAUUUCCAGCAUUUUCAAUUUUUAUUUCAGAUUCUGAGAAUGAGAACAUUUUCCCUGAUGUGAAAAUCCAAACCAGCCACUAAUGGCCGACAUGAUCAAGGGAUUUCUUCUUGGAGAGGAUAUUUCACAAUUUUUGGCGUUUUUGGUAAUGCAUUUGGAAUCCAAAGACUCUUUUGCUAUCAGUAUUUGCAUACUGCAUCAACAAUGAACCAGAAAUAAGAUGUCUCCGAAGAAGAAAUGCAAAAUUGUCAAUCCAAAUGCCCAGCAAAAGAGACUGAUUUAGACAGCAUUCGCAGAGAUUAUCCGAAUUUAGACUACUCCAAAUGUGAUGAUCUACAGGACAUUCUUAAUGGGAAAGUAGUGGGCAGAAAGACAUGUCAUGCAUGGUUUGAAGAGCAAAAACCUGUAGUUUACAAUGCCAAAAUUGAAAAGUCGAGGAAAAACAAAGUGUACAGAGUUGCUUAUGGGUUACAAUCUGAGGAGUAUGAUGAUGCUACUGAUUAUGAUAUGCCAAUGUACCAGCUAGCAACUGAUCUUCUCCAUAAAGACUUGGUCUAUUACUAGAAAUUGUAAUUUAUUUACCUAUCUGUUACAGACUUACAGCAUAUAAUACAAUAAUAUUAAAGUUCUGAUCUUGAG
Leucoraja erinaceus (little skate) is the source of this 1864-nucleotide long non-coding RNA. RefSeq lists it as uncharacterized. The transcript has 3 exons. NCBI's taxonomy places the organism in Eukaryota, Metazoa, Chordata, Chondrichthyes, Rajiformes, Rajidae. The record is from RefSeq and is a predicted model, not a curated record.